GACGAACGCUGGCGGCGUGCUUAACACAUGCAAGUCGAACGGACAGGCCCUGCUUUUGUGGGGCGCUCGAGUGGCGAACGGGUGAGUAAAACGCGAGUAACCUGCCCUUGUCUUUGGGAUAACUCCAGGAAACUGGGGCUAAUACCGGAUAGGAGCUCCUGCUGCAUGGUGGGGGAUGGAAAGUUUCGGCGGUUGGGGAUGGACUCGCGGCUUAUCCGCUUGUUGGUGAGGUAGUGGCUUACCAAGGCUUUGACGGGUAGCCGGCCUGAGAGGGUGACCGGGCACAUGAGGACUGAGAGACGGCCCAGACGCCUACGGGAGGCAGCAGUGGAGAAUAUUGCACAGUGGGCGGAAGCCUGAGGCAGCAGCGCCGCGUGCGGGAUGACGGCCUUCGAGUUGUAAACCGCUUUCGCCUGUGACGAAGCGUGAGUGGCGGUAAUGGGUAAAGAAGCACCGGCUAACUACGUG
RNAcentral lists this ribosomal RNA (468 nucleotides) under uncultured bacterium. RNAcentral describes it as "partial 16S ribosomal RNA". It matches the Rfam family "Bacterial small subunit ribosomal RNA", at positions 28 to 507 of the family's 1533-position model. The record is from RNAcentral.